UACGUAGGUGGCAAGCGUUGUCCGGAAUUAUUGGGCGUAAAGAGCUUGUAGGCGGUUUGUCGCGUCUGCCGUGAAAGUCCGGGGCUCAACUCCGGAUCUGCGGUGGGUACGGGGCAGACUAGAGUGAUGUAGGGGAGACUGGAAUUCCUGGUGUAGCGGUGAAAUGCGCAGAUAUCAGGAGGAACACCGAUGGCGAAGGCAGGUCUCUGGGCAUUAGCUGACGCUGAGGAGCGAAAGCAUGGGGGAGCGAACAGG
Molecule: ribosomal RNA, 255 nt
Filed under: uncultured bacterium
Lineage: Bacteria
Description: partial 16S ribosomal RNA
Rfam family: Bacterial small subunit ribosomal RNA
Source: RNAcentral